UGUAGUUAGCUACAGCGUCCCAGAGUGGGUCACGAUGCACAAAACGCUCCGUGCAUCGUGACACCAGAGCCCAAGCAAGCCCCAAGUGGGGCCUCUGUCGGCC
Long non-coding RNA from Aricia agestis (brown argus), 103 nucleotides. RefSeq lists it as uncharacterized. The record is from RefSeq and is a predicted model, not a curated record. Lineage: Eukaryota; Metazoa; Arthropoda; Insecta; Lepidoptera; Lycaenidae. The transcript has 3 exons.